RNAcentral lists this small nucleolar RNA (49 nucleotides) under Pyrobaculum aerophilum str. IM2. RNAcentral's name for it is "PAEsR48". The record is from RNAcentral. Lineage: Archaea; Thermoproteati; Thermoproteota; Thermoprotei; Thermoproteales; Thermoproteaceae.
AUGUUGAGGCUCGGUCGGCUUGACCUGUGAAGAGGCUAGACGACACUGA